RNAcentral lists this ribosomal RNA (253 nucleotides) under uncultured bacterium. RNAcentral describes it as "partial 16S ribosomal RNA". It matches the Rfam family "Bacterial small subunit ribosomal RNA", at positions 524 to 776 of the family's 1533-position model. The record is from RNAcentral.
UACGUAGGGUGCAAGCGUUAAUCGGAAUUACUGGGCGUAAAGCGUGCGCAGGCGGUGAUGUAAGACCGAUGUGAAAUCCCCGGGCUUAACCUGGGAACUGCAUUGGUGACUGCAUCGCUCGAGUAUGGCAGAGGGGGGUAGAAUUCCACGUGUAGCAGUGAAAUGCGUAGAGAUGUGGAGGAAUACCGAUGGCGAAGGCAGCCCCCUGGGUCAAUACUGACGCUGAGGCGCGAAAGCGUGGGGAGCAAACAGG